This is a small nuclear RNA of Sorex araneus (European shrew), 103 nucleotides long. The record is from Ensembl. Lineage: Eukaryota; Metazoa; Chordata; Mammalia; Eulipotyphla; Soricidae.
GUGCUCGCUUCGGCAGCACAUAUACUACACCUGGAACGGUAUACAGAAGAUUAGCAUGGCCCCUGCAGAAUGACAGGAAAUUCAUGAAGUGUUCCAUAUUUUU